CCUACGGGAGGCAGCAGUGGGGAAUAUUGCACAAUGGGGGAAACCCUGAUGCAGCGACGCCGCGUGAGUGAAGAAGUAUUUCGGUAUGUAAAGCUCUAUCAGCAGGGAAGAAAAUGACGGUACCUGAUUAAGAAGCCCCGGCUAACUACGUGCCAGCAGCCGCGGUAAUACGUAGGGGGCAAGCGUUAUCCGGAUUUACUGGGUGUAAAGGGAGCGUAGACGGCAGCACAAGUCUGGAGUGAAAUGCCGGGGCUUAACCCCGGAACUGCUUUGGAAACUGUGCAGCUUGAGUGCAGGGGAGGUAAGUGGAAUUCCUGGUGUAGCGGUGAAAUGCGUAGAUAUUAGGAGGAACACCAGUGGCGAAGGCGGCUUACGGGACUGUAACUGACGUUGAGGCUCGAAAGCGUGGGGAGCAAACAGGAUUAGAUACCCCUGUAGUC
RNAcentral lists this ribosomal RNA (440 nucleotides) under uncultured bacterium. RNAcentral's name for it is "partial 16S ribosomal RNA". It matches the Rfam family "Bacterial small subunit ribosomal RNA", at positions 338 to 795 of the family's 1533-position model. The record is from RNAcentral.